AGAGUCUGACCCUGGCUCAGAACGAACGCUGGCGGCGUGGAUAAGGCUUGCAAGUCGAGCGAUCUCGCAAGAGAUAGCGACAGAAGGGUUAGUAACAAGUGGGUAAUCUGCCUUUAGGCGUGGGAUAACCUUCCGAAAGGAGGGCUAAUACCGCAUAAAAUUUCAGGUCCGCAUGGAUUUGAAAUCAAAGGUGGCUCGCAAGGGCUGCCACCAAAAGAUGAGCCCGCUUCCUAUCAGCUAGUUGGUGAGGUAACGGCUCACCAAGGCUUUUGACGGGUAGCUGGUCUAAGAGGACGGUCAGCAACACUGGGACUGAGACACUGCCCAGACUCCUACGGGAGGCUGCAGUCGAGGAUCUUUAUCAAUGCCCGAAAGGGUGAAUAUGCGACGCCGCGUGUGGGAUGAAGGCCUUCGGGUCGUAAACCACUGUCAGGGGUGAGGAAAACCCGUCCGUUAAUACCGGAUGGAUUUGACGUUAACCCCAGAGGAAGCCACGGCUAACUCUGUGCCAGCAGCCGCGGUAAUACAGAGGCGGCAAGCGUUGUUCGGAUUUAUUGGGUGUAAAGGGCAGGUAGGUGGUCAUGUAAGUCCGCUGUGAAAUCCUAGGGCUCAACCCUAGAACUGCAGUAGAAACUGCUUGACUUGAGUAUCGGAGAGAUGAGGGGAAUUCUCGGUGUAAGGGUGAAAUCUGUAGAUAUCGAGAGGAAUACCAGUGGCGAAGGCGCCUCAUUGGCCGAUAACUGACACUGAGCUGCGAAAGCAAGGGGAGCAACCAGGAUUAGAUACCCUGGUAGUCCUUGCCGUAAACGAUGUGGAUUAGGUGUCGGGGGUGUCGAUCCCCUCGGCGCCGCCGUUAACACAUUAAAUCCACCACCUGGGGAGUACGGUCGCAAGACUGAAACUCAAAGGAAUUGACGGGGACCCGCACAAGCGGUGGAGCAUGUGGUUUAAUUCGAGGCUACGCGAAGAACCUUACCUAGGCUUGACAUGUUUGCAGUAGUUCCGGUGAAAGCUGGGACGACCGUAUCCAAUCGGAGGCAUACACAGGUGCUGCAUGGCUGUCGUCAGCUCGUGCUGUGAAGUGUUGGGUUAAGUCCCGCAACGAGCGCAACCAUUGCUCUUAGUUGCCAUCAGGUUAAGCUGGGCACUCUAAGAGGACCGCCAGUGAUAAACUGGAGGAAGGUGGAGAUGACGUCAAGUCAGCAUGGCCCUUAUGCCUAGGGCUACACACGUGCUACAAUGGCCAGUACAGUGAGCCGCGAAUCCGCGAGGAGGAGCAAAUCUCAAAAAGCUGGCCCCAGUUCGGAUUGUAGGCUGCAAUUCGCCUGCAUGAAGCCGGAAUCGCUAGUAAUGGCGCAUCAGACACGGCGCCGUGAAUACGUUCCCGGGUCUUGUACACACCGCCCGUCAAGCCACCUGAAUCGGAGGUACCCGAAA
Molecule: ribosomal RNA, 1437 nt
Filed under: metagenome
Description: bacterial SSU rRNA
Rfam family: Bacterial small subunit ribosomal RNA
Source: RNAcentral